CCUACGGGAGGCAGCAGUGAGGAAUAUUGGUCAAUGGGCGGGAGCCUGAACCAGCCAAGUCGCGUGAGGGAAGACGGUCCUAUGGAUUGUAAACCUCUUUAGGCGGGGAGCAAUGCCGGGCACGUGUGCCCGGAGGGAGAGUACCCGCAGAAUAAGCAUCGGCUAACUCCGUGCCGGCAGCCGCGGUAAUACGGAGGAUGCGAGCGUUAUCCGGAUUUAUUGGGUUUAAAGGGUGCGUAGGCGGAUUUUUAAGUCAGCGGUAAAAUGUCCGGGCUCAACCCGGGCCGGCCGUUGAAACUGGGGAUCUUGAGUGGGCGAGAAGUAUGCGGAAUGCGUGGUGUAGCGGUGAAAUGCAUAGAUAUCACGCAGAACUCCGAUUGCGAAGGCAGCAUACCGGCGCCCGACUGACGCUGAGGCACGAAAGCGUGGGGAUCGAACAGGAUUAGAUACCCCUGUAGUC
This 460-nucleotide ribosomal RNA is filed under the name uncultured bacterium. RNAcentral's name for it is "partial 16S ribosomal RNA". It matches the Rfam family "Bacterial small subunit ribosomal RNA", at positions 338 to 795 of the family's 1533-position model. The record is from RNAcentral.